Molecule: ribosomal RNA, 1362 nt
Filed under: uncultured bacterium
Lineage: Bacteria
Description: 16S ribosomal RNA
Rfam family: Bacterial small subunit ribosomal RNA
Source: RNAcentral
GAUGAACGCUAGCGACAGGCUUAACACAUGCAAGUCGAGGGGCAGCAGGGGAGUAGCAAUACUCCCGCUGGCGACCGGCGCACGGGUGAGUAACACGUAUGCAACCUGCCCUUGUCAGGGGGAUAAGCGGAAGAAAUUCCGUCUAAUACCGCAUAAUGCUGCGGGGAGACAUCUCCCUGCAGCCAAAGAUUUAUCGGACAAGGAUGGGCAUGCGGCGCAUUAGCUUGUUGGCGGGGUAACGGCCCACCAAGGCGACGAUGCGUAGGGGUUCUGAGAGGAAGGUCCCCCACACUGGUACUGAGACACGGACCAGACUCCUACGGGAGGCAGCAGUGAGGAAUAUUGGUCAAUGGCCGGGAGGCUGAACCAGCCAAGUCGCGUGAGGGAAGACGGUCCUAUGGAUUGUAAACCUCUUUUGUCAGGGAGCAGAAACUGCCACGUGUGGCAGGAUGAGAGUACCUGAAGAAAAAGCAUCGGCUAACUCCGUGCCAGCAGCCGCGGUAAUACGGAGGAUGCGAGCGUUAUCCGGAUUUAUUGGGUUUAAAGGGUGCGUAGGCGGACAGUUAAGUCAGCGGUAAAAUUGAGAGGCUCAACCUCUUCCCGCCGUUGAAACUGAUUGUCUUGAGUGGGCGAGAAGUAUGCGGAAUGCGUGGUGUAGCGGUGAAAUGCAUAGAUAUCACGCAGAACUCCGAUUGCGAAGGCAGCAUACCGGCGCCCAACUGACGCUGAAGCACGAAAGCGUGGGUAUCGAACAGGAUUAGAUACCCUGGUAGUCCACGCAGUAAACGAUGAAUACUAAUUGUUCGGGUCAAAUGAGAUCUGAGUGAUACAGCGAAAGCGUUAAGUAUUCCACCUGGGGAGUACGCCGGCAACGGUGAAACUCAAAGGAAUUGACGGGGGCCCGCACAAGCGGAGGAACAUGUGGUUUAAUUCGAUGAUACGCGAGGAACCUUACCCGGGCUCAAACGACACAGGAAUGAUCUGAGAAAUCAGGCAGUCCUCCGGGACCUGUGUCGAGGUGCUGCAUGGUUGUCGUCAGCUCGUGCCGUGAGGUGUCGGCUUAAGUGCCAUAACGAGCGUAACCCCCAUCGACAGUUGCCAGCAGGUCAAGCUGGGCACUCUGUCGAGACUGCCGGCGCAAGCUGUGAGGAAGGCGGGGAUGACGUCAAAUCAGCACGGCCCUUACGUCCGGGGCGACACACGUGUUACAAUGGCAGGUACAGCGGGAAGCCACCUGGCGACAGGGAGCGGAACCCGAAAGCCUGUCUCAGUUCGGAUUGGAGUCUGCAACUCGACUCCAUGAAGCUGGAUUCGCUAGUAAUCGCGCAUCAGCCACGGCGCGGUGAAUACGUUCCCGGGCCU